Molecule: ribosomal RNA, 193 nt
Filed under: uncultured Methylococcaceae bacterium
Lineage: Bacteria; Pseudomonadati; Pseudomonadota; Gammaproteobacteria; Methylococcales; Methylococcaceae
Description: partial 16S ribosomal RNA
Rfam family: Bacterial small subunit ribosomal RNA
Source: RNAcentral
CCUACGGGAGGCAGCAGUGGGGAAUAUUGGACAAUGGGCGAAAGCCUGAUCCAGCAAUACCGCGUGUGUGAAGAAGGCCUGAGGGUUGUAAAGCACUUUCAAUAGGGAGGAAUACCUUGAGGUUAAUACCCUUAAGACUGACAUUACCUAUAGAAGAAGCACCGGCUAACUCCGUGCCAGCAGCCGCGGUAAU